Molecule: ribosomal RNA, 582 nt
Filed under: Cortinarius allutus
Lineage: Eukaryota; Fungi; Basidiomycota; Agaricomycetes; Agaricales; Cortinariaceae
Description: eukaryotic LSU rRNA
Rfam family: Eukaryotic large subunit ribosomal RNA
Source: RNAcentral
UGACCUCAAAUCAGGUAGGACUACCCGCUGAACUUAAGCAUAUCAAUAAGCGGAGGAAAAGAAACUAACAAGGAUUCCCCUAGUAACUGCGAGUGAAGCGGGAAAAGCUCAAAUUUAAAAUCUGGCGGUCUCUGACUGUCCGAGUUGUAAUCUAGAGAAGUGUUAUCCGCGCUGGACCGUGUACAAGUCUCCUGGAAUGGAGCGUCAUAGAGGGUGAGAAUCCCGUCUUUGACACGGACUGCCAGGGCUUUGUGAUAUGCUCUCAAAGAGUCGAGUUGUUUGGGAAUGCAGCUCAAAAUGGGUGGUAAAUUCCAUCUAAAGCUAAAUAUUGGCGAGAGACCGAUAGCGAACAAGUACCGUGAGGGAAAGAUGAAAAGAACUUUGGAAAGAGAGUUAAACAGUACGUGAAAUUGCUGAAAGGGAAACGCUUGAAGUCAGUCACGUUGGCCAGGGAUCAACCUUGCUUUUGCUUGGUGUACUUUCUGGUUGAUGGGUCAGCAUCAAUUUUGACCAUUGGAAAAAGGUCAAGGGAAUGUGGCAUCUUCGGAUGUGUUAUAGCCCUUGGUUGCAUACAAUGGUUGG